CAUUGUGCUUCCCCUAGAAAUUUGAAGAAAAGCUAGGACAGGCAUAUUUUGGCAUCAACGGUGACACGGUUGAUGGUGUACAUGUUUGUUUUGAUUUUUGGUCUGUUGAUUUCGUGGCAUGGUUAAGGUUUGUUUGUUCUUUUGGUUACAUAAUUUUGGUUUGUUAUUGAUGUACAUGUACAUAAAAGGUAGAUUUGUUUGUUGUUUGCAAUCCUAUCUGCUUUAAACGAAUUACACGUUUUUAAACGACAUCUGGGGAUGUAGGGUUAACUUCGUAAUUCUGCAUCCACUAGAAUUGAGUUCCUCCUUUGUAACAGGAAAACUAGAUCCUAUUUUUACUUUCAGUAGCAGUAGAAACUAUUCUGAAGACUUGGCAGAAGAAAAUAGGGUACUUGGCAGAAG
RNAcentral lists this small RNA (402 nucleotides) under Oryza sativa Japonica Group (Japanese rice). RNAcentral describes it as "sRNA Os04g0311500". The record is from RNAcentral. Lineage: Eukaryota; Viridiplantae; Streptophyta; Magnoliopsida; Poales; Poaceae.